CGGACGGGUGAGUAACGUGUGGGUAACCUGCCUUGUACAGGGGGAUAACAGUUGGAAACGGCUGCUAAUACCGCAUAAGCGCACGGCAUCGCAUGAUGCAGUGUGAAAAACUCCGGUGGUAUAAGAUGGACCCGCGUUGGAUUAGCUAGUUGGUGAGGUAACGGCCCACCAAGGCGACGAUCCAUAGCCGACCUGAGAGGGUGACCGGCCACAUUGGGACUGAGACACGGCCCAA
RNAcentral lists this ribosomal RNA (235 nucleotides) under uncultured bacterium. Its description in RNAcentral is "partial 16S ribosomal RNA". It matches the Rfam family "Bacterial small subunit ribosomal RNA", at positions 99 to 334 of the family's 1533-position model. The record is from RNAcentral.